UAUGUUUAUGUGAAUGGAACCCUCUACUU
Molecule: non-coding RNA, 29 nt
Filed under: Rattus norvegicus (Norway rat)
Lineage: Eukaryota; Metazoa; Chordata; Mammalia; Rodentia; Muridae
Source: RNAcentral